Molecule: long non-coding RNA, 456 nt
Filed under: Homo sapiens (human)
Lineage: Eukaryota; Metazoa; Chordata; Mammalia; Primates; Hominidae
Description: HSALNT0321434
Source: RNAcentral
UAUGCUGCUAGCACUUCUGUUAGGCAGUGGUAUAAUAUGUAACUGGAAAAGAAAACCCCUCCUGUUAUAUUUUCCCUUAUACGUUACUAGCACAUGCAGUGCACGUUAAGAACAAUAGUCUUUUGUUCUGUUCUGUUUAUAAAAAGAAGAAAAAGCAUCCAGAACAAUGGGUGAGAAGAAACAAAAACCUGUCGCCUAAAUCAAGGGAUUGGUAUUCUCCAAAUCAUUGCUACCGCAUUGAGCCAUUUUCUCUGAUUCAGGCUGCCCCUGCUGAAUUUUAGAGAGCGUCAAAACUUAUUGGUUAAAGGGAUGCCUUUAUGAGUAAAACAUGAGAAAUAUUCACUUACUAGGUAAGCAAUUUGUAAGGACUGGAAGUAGAAAUUAAGCAACCAAGACAAGAAGGCUGUCCUAUCAGUUUCAAGAACAACUAAGAGGAUGUUAAAGGUGAUGUUGUGA